RNAcentral lists this ribosomal RNA (130 nucleotides) under Castor canadensis (American beaver). Lineage: Eukaryota; Metazoa; Chordata; Mammalia; Rodentia; Castoridae. The record is from RNAcentral.
GUCUACGGCCACACCACCCUGAACGCGCCCGAUCUCGUCUGAUCCGGAAGCGAAGCAGGGUCGGGCCUGGUCAGUACUUGUAUGGGAGAAGAUGGGAUGUGAAGUGGCAGAGUGGCUGAAGCAGUAGAGC